RNAcentral lists this ribosomal RNA (253 nucleotides) under uncultured bacterium. RNAcentral's name for it is "partial 16S ribosomal RNA". It matches the Rfam family "Bacterial small subunit ribosomal RNA", at positions 524 to 776 of the family's 1533-position model. The record is from RNAcentral.
UACGAAUGUGGCGAGCGUUGUUCGGAAUCACUGGGCGUAAAGAGUACGUAGGCGGUUUGACAAGUCAGAAGUGAAAGCCCAGGGCUCAACCCUGGAAUUGCUUUUGAAACUGUUAGACUAGAAUGUCGGAGAGGUUGGCGGAAUUCCAAGUGUAGAGGUGAAAUUCGCAGAUAUUUGGAGGAACACCAGUGGCGUAAGCGGCCAACUGGACGACUAUUGACGCUGAGGUACGAAAGCGUGGGGAUCAAACAGG